UCAGGAUGUAAUUAUCGGUGGAUAUGGAAAGCUCGUAUCCCUCUGAAAAUACAAAUUUUCAUGUUGCAGUUGUGGCAGGAUGCGAUGCUGACUAGGGAUGUGAUGAAGCAGCGUGGGUGGAAAGGUGAACCCAAGUGCUCGUUUUGUCGGGAAAAGGAAACUUCUCAGCAUCUAUUUUUCACAUGUCCCGUUGCUAGGGUUACCUGGAGAGUUGUGGGGUGCAUGUUUGGCACUGAGUUAUGCCCUGACAAUUUGUGGUAG
This 261-nucleotide ribosomal RNA is filed under the name Triticum aestivum (bread wheat). RNAcentral's name for it is "partial small subunit ribosomal RNA". The record is from RNAcentral. Lineage: Eukaryota; Viridiplantae; Streptophyta; Magnoliopsida; Poales; Poaceae.